GACCAUCAGGGCAUAGUUCGAAACAAGCUUCAAUAGUGAGUAGACAGAUAGUAGACAGUCCUACCAGAGGUAUUAUGGAGACUGAUUUGUGACCUCUCCACGUGUAGUACUCUGAGCUGUGUUUGAGUUUAACAUGCUUGAAAAAUGGGUUCAAAAUGUGGCUCCAAGCCACAGUAUGGACAAGGCCUUAGAAAGUGUCGCUGACUCAUCCAGGCCACAUCAUUCUUCCUGAAGCAAAAGCCCUUUUAAAGCUACCUCUAACAUUUAUCCUGAAUGAUGAACUCUCUUGUCAAAGAGUCAGGCACUGGUGGCUGCUCUAAUGGGUGCAUAUCCUGUCCACUCCCUGGGUUGUUUUUCUCUUACCUGCUGGAAAAGAAAGCAAUUUUCCACCACAACAUCCCAUUUCUCCAACUCUACUCUGGGUGUAUCCUCCCAAACACCCCAUUGUCACUGUAAUAAAAUUCAGGAAACAAAAUUGCCACUGUCCCUGUCUCUACAGCAAUGUGUAGUAUACUAUAUAACUUUUUUCCUCUCUGUGUGUGUGUGUGUGUGUGUGUACCUCUUCCCCAUAGCACUACUAAUUCUUUAACACCAGAGACAGCACUUUAAGAAUUCCCUCUUCCAAGGCUUUACAAUG
RNAcentral lists this long non-coding RNA (637 nucleotides) under Marmota monax (woodchuck). Lineage: Eukaryota; Metazoa; Chordata; Mammalia; Rodentia; Sciuridae. The record is from RNAcentral.